RNAcentral lists this RNase P RNA (387 nucleotides) under Naasia lichenicola. RNAcentral describes it as "Bacterial RNase P class A". It matches the Rfam family "Bacterial RNase P class A". From Rfam's summary of the family: Ribonuclease P (RNase P) is a ubiquitous endoribonuclease, found in archaea, bacteria and eukarya as well as chloroplasts and mitochondria. Its best characterised activity is the generation of mature 5'-ends of tRNAs by cleaving the 5'-leader elements of precursor-tRNAs. The record is from Rfam by way of RNAcentral. Lineage: Bacteria; Bacillati; Actinomycetota; Actinomycetes; Micrococcales; Microbacteriaceae.
UGGGUCGGCAAGACGGUCGCGUCAUCCUUCGCACCGCGUCGCAAGACGCAGGGCGCUGUGAUGCCGAGGAACGUCCGGGCUCCGCAGAGCAGGGCGGUGGGUAACACCCACCCGGGGCAACCCGAGAGCAAGUGCAACAGAGAGCAGACCGCCACGUGCGCAAGCACGGGGUAAGGGUGAAACGGUGGUGUAAGAGACCACCAGGGGCCUGGGUGAUCAGGCUCGCUAGGUAAACCUCGCCCGGAGCAAGGUCAAGCAGGGAACGCUGAGGCGGCUCGCCGAGUUCCCGGGUAGACCGCUAGAGGGCUGCGGCAACGCAGUCCCGAGAUAGAUGACCGUCACCUGCGAAAGCAGGGACAGAACCCGGCGUAGCAGCCGGCCCAUUCC